RNAcentral lists this ribosomal RNA (328 nucleotides) under uncultured eukaryote. RNAcentral's name for it is "partial 18S ribosomal RNA". It matches the Rfam family "Eukaryotic small subunit ribosomal RNA", at positions 1470 to 1796 of the family's 1831-position model. The record is from RNAcentral.
CCCUUAGAUGUCCGGGGCUGCACGCGCGCUACACUGAAGGAAUCAGCGUGCUAAAACCAUUGUCGAAAGGCAUUGGUAAACCCAUUAAAAUCCUACGUGAUUGGGAUCGGGAAUUGCAAUUAUUUCCCUUGAACGAGGAAUUCCCAGUAAGUGUGGGUCAUAAGCUCGCGUUGAUUACGUCCCUGCCCUUUGUACACACCGCCCGUCGCUGCCCGGGACUGAGCCGUUUCGAGAAACGCGGGGACUGCUGCUGUCGGGGCUUUCGGGCCUUGGCUUCGGUGGAAACCGCUUUAAUCGCAGUGGCUUGAACCGGGCAAAANUCGUAACA